This 449-nucleotide ribosomal RNA is filed under the name uncultured bacterium. Its description in RNAcentral is "partial 16S ribosomal RNA". It matches the Rfam family "Bacterial small subunit ribosomal RNA", at positions 29 to 523 of the family's 1533-position model. The record is from RNAcentral.
AAUGAACGCUGGCGGCAUGCCUAACACAUGCAAGUCGAACGAAGGCUUCGGCCUUAGUGGCGCACGGGUGCGUAACGCGUGGGAAUCUGCCCUCAGGUUCGGAAUAACAGCGAGAAAUUGCUGCUAAUACCGGAUGAUAUCGCGAGAUCAAAGAUUUAUCGCCUGAGGAUGAGCCCGCGUAGGAUUAGCUAGUUGGUGUGGUAAAGGCGCACCAAGACGACGAUCCUUAGCUGGUCUGAGAGGAUGAUCAGCCACACUGGGACUGAGACACGGCCCAGACUCCUACGGGAGGCAGCAGUGGGGAAUAUUGGACAAUGGGCGAAAGCCUGAUCCAGCAAUGCCGCGUGAGUGAUGAAGGCCUUAGGGUUGUAAAGCUCUUUUACCCGGGAUGAUAAUGACAGUACCGGGAGAAUAAGCUCCGGCUAACUCCGUGCCAGCAGCCGCGGUAA